Molecule: ribosomal RNA, 344 nt
Filed under: Inanidrilus mojicae
Lineage: Eukaryota; Metazoa; Annelida; Clitellata; Tubificida; Naididae
Description: partial 16S ribosomal RNA
Rfam family: Bacterial large subunit ribosomal RNA
Source: RNAcentral
CCGUGCUAAGGUAGCAUAAUCACUUGUCUAUUAAUUGUAGACUAGAAUGAAUGAAUAAAUGAGAUUUUCACUGUUUCAUAAAAUAAUCUAAAAUCUUAUAUAAAAGUGAAGAAGCUUUUAUAAUCUCGUUAGACAAGAAGACCCUGUAGAGCUUAAAUUAACUAAAAUAAAUAAUUUUACUAAAUUUUGGCUGGGAUGGCCUAGAUAAUAUAAAACUAUCUUUCCUCUAAGACUAAUAAAUCAUUUUCUUGAUCCAUAAUAAAUGAACAACAACUACUAAGCUACCUCAGGGAUAACAGACAUAUUUUCCUCUAAAGUUCUAAUUAAAAGGAAAGAUUGGCACC